AUGGAUCCGUAACUUCGGGAA
Molecule: small nuclear RNA, 21 nt
Filed under: Arabidopsis thaliana (thale cress)
Lineage: Eukaryota; Viridiplantae; Streptophyta; Magnoliopsida; Brassicales; Brassicaceae
Description: snRNA_01337
Source: RNAcentral